UCCAGCGGAUCGAUGGGAGCUUGCUCCCUGANUUCAGCGGCGGACGGGUGAGUAACACGUGGGUAACCUGCCUGUAAGACUGGGAUAACUCCGGGAAACCGGGGCUAAUACCGGAUAACACCUACCCCCGCAUGGGGGAAGGUUGAAAGGUGGCUUCGGCUAUCACUUACAGAUGGACCCGCGGCGCAUUAGCUANUUGGUGAGGUAACGGCUCACCANGGCGACGAUGCGUANCCNACCUGANAGGGUGAUCGGCCACACUGGGACUGAGACACNGCCCANACUCCUACGGGAGGCAGCANUAGGGAAUCUUCCGCAAUGGACNAAAGUCUGACAGAGCAACGCCNCGUGAGUGAAGAAGGUUUUCNGAUCGUAAAACUCUGUUGUUANGGAAGAACAAGUGCCGUUCGAAUANGGCGGCACCUUGACGGUACCUAACCANAAAGCCNCGGCUAAAUACNUGCCAGCAGCCGCGGUAAUACGUAGGUGGCAAGCGUUGUCCGGAAUUAUUGGGCGUA
RNAcentral lists this ribosomal RNA (518 nucleotides) under marine sediment bacterium ISA-3170. Its description in RNAcentral is "partial 16S ribosomal RNA". It matches the Rfam family "Bacterial small subunit ribosomal RNA", at positions 62 to 562 of the family's 1533-position model. The record is from RNAcentral.